Long non-coding RNA from Phycodurus eques (leafy seadragon), 1041 nucleotides. RefSeq lists it as uncharacterized. The transcript has 3 exons. The record is from RefSeq and is a predicted model, not a curated record. NCBI's taxonomy places the organism in Eukaryota, Metazoa, Chordata, Actinopteri, Syngnathiformes, Syngnathidae.
GGGAAAUGUGACCGCAUGAGGAAGAGGACUGGAAAAACUAAAAAACUACAGUGAAGUCUGAAUAGAUGAACGCCCCCAAUAAGGUACAAUUUGGACUUUGACAAGUGACAUGACUCUCUUAAAGCGGUCAUCUUGAUGUCACAAACGUUUAUUAGCCACCUCUUUCAAAGCUAUUGUGACAUCGCUAUAGUAGAUCUAUAGCGAAAAACCAGUACUGGGACUUUGGAAAGAGGAGCUUCAGGACACAAAGCAUGGAAAUGUACGUCCUGAAUCUCAAGACAAUGUCCAGGGCGCACCAAAGCUACAGAGAGAAGAAGCACAGCUGAAGUCUUGAAUAUUAGGUUAACGCUCUCGGCAAGUGGAACAAGCGGACUCCCUCCUUCCCAUGAGCCAGCUGACCUCCACGGGUCUACCCUCACCUCCACCGCCUGUCCCAGCUCCAGAUCGAAGCCCACCACGCAGAUGCAAUGCAGCCAGGUCGAGAAGCGGUCCCAGGGCAGCAACACAGCGGUCCCCGCGGGCUCCUCUUCGUCACCCCCGGGCCCGGUUGGCAGCGUGAUCUCCUCGGCCGGGGAGAUACUACUGGCGUCACGGUCGUCCAGGUCCUCCGAUUCUUCCACCGGCUCCCCCAGCUCCUCCGGGCCUUGCAGAGCCAUACCGACCGGCCCGACGCGGUCACUCCGGGGAAUGUUAAGUGUUUCCUUCACUUGCGAAAGGAGUGGAGGUUUUGGAGAUGCGAGGAAAUGUCAUGUCAAUAUGUUAAUAUUGACAUGUAAAAUAUGUAAUAUGUAUGACAUGCAAUAUGUAAGUAUAUAUGUAAAUAUGUUGCUUUGAUAUUGUAUAAUAGCGUAAUUAUUGCUAAAGCAAACAAUAAUACAGUAUUAACGGACUGUACGGUGGCCGAGAAGUACGUUUUCAAAUUUGUCUCUUACUUGGCCACCGUACAAAAGCAUUAUAGUACAGUAUAAUGUAACAGUAUAAACCGUUUUUUCAAAUCAAUUAUAAUUUUGAAAUACUAUUGAAAAAAUUAAUAAAAAUAUU